UUAAACAAUAACCAGGUCUAUUUGCCAUUCCCCACAGACAAACACACUACGGACUUGCUACUGUAAACACGGAUGGAAGGGCAGGAGUACAACCUCCUAGUAGAAACCCACUUCGAGGCUCGUUAGAAACUAGAAAAAACAAGACUCCUCCAGCGACUAUCUUGUUAGAGGGGUGCCUGCACCUGUGAACCUUAAAUUAGCAACUUUCAAGCACUCGGCAGCUGUUGAAACUCUCUUUGGUGGACACAUUUUGCUUGAGAUCUUUAGUGAAGUGAAGUAAAACUGGAAAUUCAUUCCUACUGACAAUGGCAAUGAAGUGCUCCCACCCAGAACAACAUUAAGAGAAGUUCUUGCAUCAUCCUUCAGUUGGCACCAGCUUCAGAAAUCCAGACUAUUGCAGAUCUCCUCCUCAAGGGCAUUGUGGGUCUACCUGCAGCACAGAGACAGCAGUGAUUCAAGAAGGCACCUCACCACCACCUUCCCAAAGCCAAUUAGAGAUGGGCAAUUAAUACUGGCCUAGCCAACAAUGCACACGUCCCAUAGGUACAUAAAAAAAUAAUGUAACCCACCAAUAGAGGUGUCUCAAGGCCUUUACUGAAAGGGACUGGUUUUGAUUGAACAGCCCACAUUGAAGAAAAGACAAUGUGCUGCAGUCUGCAAAUCUGGCAAUGAUUACAAGCAGAGCAGACAAACAUGGAACAAAAACCCCAAAGAACUGCAGAUGCAGGAAAUCAGAAACAAAAUAGAAAUUAUUGGGAAAACUCAGCAGGUUGGACAGCAUCAGUGAACCUUGGUGAAACUUUCUGUUGAACUUAACUUGACAAAUAAAAUGGACUCUCCUGGUAAGAUAAAUAAAUAAAAGAGACUCAAUGGUUAAGGAUAGCAUAGGAUUUGCAGUUCAGUGACUCAGUGACUUAUGUUGUGAUUACAGCAUAAAUUCUUUCUCAGACCACACCUCUGUCAAUGUAGUUGUCAAAUUCUAUCAGUUAAUAAGGUGAAAAACAGAGCUACUGGUACAACUUUAUCUAAGGAGAAACAAGAAUCGCAACCAUGUCGCAUUUAUACUGCAGCAGAGGUCAGAUUUGGAUAUUUACUCUAAGAGGUGCAUCAUAACACCAGCAUGUUCAACAGUGAAGUUCGUACAUAUUCUAAGGCUGUAUCGAGGUAAUGUUGACAUAGGAGGGUGGGGUGCUUGCUUCAUUUGACUCACAGUAAUAUUACAGUCAUUCUGAUUGUUUUGCAGAUGUGCUGAACUUAGUACUUCCUCAUCCCACUCCCCAUACGUUGUGCCACUGUCAUGAGAAUCCUCCUAUUCCAACUAAUUAUUAAUUUAGCAGUGAAUUUAGCACCGUUUUAGGAAAACAGACUUGUGUUGCUUCACUUUUGGCCAUCUCUAUUAGCAAUAAUUGCCACGAUAAGCCAAUAACGGUGCAAGCUGGACAAAUUGAAUGAAUUGGGUCCAGCAAAUGCAUAGUUUCAGACAUAAAGUAAAGGUGAAAUGCUUUAUAAGAGUGAAUGGGGUUGCGGACUGUCUGACCUUUGAGCCAAUUUACUGGACAGGCUCUGUGCUGGUUCCGGUUAAGAAGUGGGCGAGGCAAGAAUGGUAACUGCUGACAGGAAUUACUGCUUUGGUAUGUGGCCUGUCCUAAUUUCUGGGAUUAUUUUUACUUGAUUAGGAGGGAAAUUGGUUACUACUGCAGGGCUUCUUAACAACUAUUUGCAGGGGAGGUGCAUGUUUGUUGCAAGGAAGAGUAAAUUAAUGCGCUCAGAAAAAAAAAUUGAGGCAGCUGACAGGCAAAUAAGCACAGACUUGUACAAUCCGAUGUUGGCCAUUACACAGUACUGGCACUUUUCACAGGAUGUGAUGUACCUCUGUCACUGCCUCCUUGGAGAAAAAGGUCUUUUUAAGUAACCUUCCUCAAAGAACUCCAGGUAAUUUGUUCUGGGCCUUUAAACUCUGUUAGGAGGAUCUCUUCAAGCAUGUUUUCAUCUGUCUGCCCCUUCUGGUGUUGGAUUCCACAUAGGGCCCCAUUUAGAAUCAAUGCUUUGACCUGUGUAAAAUCUGCAAUGCCAAUAAAUUCUCUAAACUUGAAUUGCA
This is a long non-coding RNA of Rhincodon typus (whale shark), 2098 nucleotides long. RefSeq lists it as uncharacterized. The transcript is spliced from 3 exons. Lineage: Eukaryota; Metazoa; Chordata; Chondrichthyes; Orectolobiformes; Rhincodontidae. The record is from RefSeq and is a predicted model, not a curated record.